GAUCAUGGCUCAGGACGAACGCUGGCGGCGUGCCUAAUACAUGCAAGUCGAACGAACCGCGACUGAGUGCUUGCACUUGGUCAAGGUGAGUGGCGAACGGGUGAGUAACACGUGGGUAACCUACCUCAUAGUGGGGGAUAACAGUCGGAAACGACUGCUAAUACCGCAUAGGACAUGGAAUCACAUGAUUCCGUGAGGAAAGGUGGCGCAAGCUAUCGCUAAGAGAUGGACCCG
RNAcentral lists this ribosomal RNA (234 nucleotides) under uncultured bacterium. RNAcentral describes it as "partial 16S ribosomal RNA". It matches the Rfam family "Bacterial small subunit ribosomal RNA", at positions 15 to 233 of the family's 1533-position model. The record is from RNAcentral.